Molecule: ribosomal RNA, 116 nt
Filed under: Pseudomonadota bacterium
Lineage: Bacteria; Pseudomonadati; Pseudomonadota
Source: RNAcentral
UUCGGUGGCUAUGGCGAGGGGGAUACACCCGUUCCCAUCCCGAACACGGAAGUUAAGCCCCUCAGCGCCGAUGGUACUGCAUAGUCGCUAUGUGGGAGAGUAGGACGCCGCCGGAA